CGACUGAAAGAACAUGUUCGCGCACAAGUAAAGAAAAUGAUGUGUUGGGGUCUGUGCGAUGUACACGUCAGCAUUGAACGAAAUCUCUGGACUUCCCGUUCAACUGAACCCGUCAACAGGCAAGUUUUAGACGUCAAGAUCCAAGUCGUAGCCAAGUGGUAACAGAGACUGUGAAGGACAUACAGCGGAAAAGUAAGAAUCAGUGAAAAUUCUAUGCUGAGAAGGUACAUCUACAGUAUUCUACAGAUCCGCUGAUGGGCUUAACAGGCAGGCAUCAAAUGAACUUGACAGGUUCACCGAUACUUAAGGUUAAAAUGCACGGCAUAUGUUUGAUGAACACUUAGCAUUUUAUUCUUAUGUCAUCCAUUAUUUUCUUUUGAUUCUUCGUUUAUCCCCUCGCUUGUUCUUGGGAUCCGAAAAUGAUAAUAAAAAACAGA
This is a non-coding RNA of Pocillopora verrucosa, 437 nucleotides long. The record is from RefSeq and is a predicted model, not a curated record. Lineage: Eukaryota; Metazoa; Cnidaria; Anthozoa; Scleractinia; Pocilloporidae.